GCCGUGACUCCACUUGAUCGCGCCGGAGCGGGAAAGAAAGGAUGGGUACCCCCGUAGGCUCAACGGCGCGGCAGUGUGGAGACCUGCCGUGAAAGCGGCCCGGGCGUUGCCCGGCCGUGAGGCGGUCCGCGCGGAGGCGGGGCCGUCAGAGCAGCGCGCAUGGCA
Molecule: non-coding RNA, 165 nt
Filed under: uncultured Dysosmobacter sp.
Lineage: Bacteria; Bacillati; Bacillota; Clostridia; Eubacteriales; Oscillospiraceae
Description: malK-I RNA
Rfam family: malK-I RNA
Source: RNAcentral